Molecule: long non-coding RNA, 3569 nt
Organism: Metopolophium dirhodum (rose-grain aphid)
Lineage: Eukaryota; Metazoa; Arthropoda; Insecta; Hemiptera; Aphididae
Exons: 6
Source: RefSeq, a predicted model, not a curated record
AAGCUCUUAGAUUUGCUAGGGGACACUGUAGCGCUACAUAUUAUAGUAGGUUGCCUAUAUAAGCCCCUUAAUUUUUCUUUUUUAGACACUGAUAACUAUUAACUGAUAAGUUAUUAGUACAAAAGAACAACUACUUAGCUUUUUUCUAAUUUUUAAAUUAAGUCCAAUAGUCCAUUAGCCUUUAGGUACUUAAUAUUAUAGUGUUAUUAGUGUUAAAAUAUAAAAAUAUAUACAUAGUUUAUAAUAAAACGUGCAAUACAUCAUUACCAUUUACCUGUAUCAAGUGUAUGGCUGUAUGGAUUAUGGACACUGGAUUACUAAAACAAGGUUUAUUUCAUAGAGUAAUAUUUGAUGGUUAGCUUAUUGUUUUUACAAUAAUUUGAUACAGUUCUACACGGUUAUACGGUGAACAAAAAAAUAAUAAGCCACCAAUAUAAACAGAAAGUUCGUUAAAUCGUAUAUAUUAUAAUUUUCAGCUCAUCGGGGUGAGAUGAUUAAAUGAAGAUGGAUGAACAUGGCUGUUUCUUCGGCGAUGGCGGCACUCUAGCUACGUUUCACCGGAAGAGUAGAUGUUUACGACCGUUGCAGAAGACACAGUCGAUUAAAAAUUCUAAAAUUUCAAUAAGCAAAGAAGAUACGAGCAAAAAACUUACCGCGUUUCGUAUAAUUUUAUUUUUCAUAAAUCACAAUAUUCUAAGUUCUGUAUUCUGAAGCAUUUCCUCAUGGGCGUCGCAGUUCACAUCACGGUAUCCGCCGAAAGAGUCGAUAAUUAAAUCUUACUACCUGCAAAUUAUAAACUAAGCAGUUAUCCCAAUUGCUAGUUUAUAACACUGGCGCAGUCGAGUACGGAACUUCCAAGGAGAUUGAGGCGAGUCGAGCAGUCAUAGCAGCGGAAAUCAACAGAAGAAGUGCAGCAGUGACACAGCGGUUCGAUUCAAAUCAACUACACGGACUACGGAGGCAACUUUUUAAGUCACAGUCGAGGACCGAUCACCCUUGACAACUCCGGGAAGCGACGAACAAAUUGAAGACAGACAAGCAGACGAAAAUAAAAGAAAAAUGAACAGAGCAGUAGGUGCAGGGAUUAUUGCUCUCAGAUAUUUCAACAGCGACGUCGAGGUUCGAUUCCAGUCUUCCUGCCACUGCAAGGCGAAAUCUUACGCCACAUUUGCCGAUAAUAUAAAACCAUCAUCGCGUCGUCAAAUGACUUUCGGGAUGGUUUGAGAGCCCUGAUUUCGUUACUCGUCCGUUCGGUCGGAGUAAAAUCUCUUUUCUAUGGUCGGAGUUGUUUUCCAGCCACCGCCGCUGCUGCCACACUAAAUCGAAAACCAUCGCACAAUUACGUCGCCGGCAACGUUAACGACUACAUCCAGAGAGGACGCAGUGGAGAUAAUCGGCUGUUCGCCGGCCGUCCGAAAAACUGAUGUCCCUAUAUUCGUCCCGAUGUCGGCCGCAUAGCCCGGACCGUCGCGCGUCCAACCGCCACGUUGAGACGUCGCCGAAACUGUUAUAGGUACGAAAUGAAGAUUUUUAGUGUGAAUCGAUAAAAAAAAAACGUUAGCCGUCUCUUCCUAAGGUGUAAUAGACUAGCAAAUAAACGAAGGAAAUAUCAAUUAUUAUAUUUUAUUUGUUUUAUUUUUAUAUAGUAUUAAUACACUAAAUAUCCAUGGUUAUUGCCGUCGUUUCGCUAUUUUUGCAGUGUUCGUUUGCAAUCGAUAGGUACGGAUUAAUUAAAAAACUUAAUAAUAUGUUUUUAAAAACAAGACAAUUUUAAGUUUUUUUUUACAAAUUAUAAACGAAUUAAUAGUUAUAAUAUUUUGUUUGGAUUUUGAGGCGAUAGAACUAAUAAAAAAUACUAUAAAGUAAAAACUGAUAAGUACAAAAUAAUUUCCUCUUUUUUCCAUGUAGAUCAGUGGUUUUCAAACUUAUAUUAAACACGGCACACCGUACUCUUCAAACAAUUUUCACGGCACACUGAUCUUUUUUUUUUUGCUCUAAGUAAUUAGAUGAACAAUAUUGUUUUGAAUUAUAGUUAUAUUCAUUUAAUUAGUAAUGUGUGCUUGACAGGCGUACAAAUUUUUAUUCAUUUUAUUUUUAUCAUUUUAUUCUUGGACGAAUAGUUGACAUUUUUCAGAAGACCGCAACACACUUAACAAAUGAACCAAUUUGAAAACCACUGGUGUAGAUUAACAUACACACAUUUUUAUUCCAAUAUAAUUUUAAUGUAGGUAUUAUUUUUGUAAAACUGUACUUAAUUUACAUAUACGACUAUAAUAUAACGGUAUAUUUUAUAAUUAUGUAUUAUACUUUAUCUUAUUACCUACUAUGAGUAACAUUAAAAAUUCUCAUUUGUCCCUAAUAUUUUUAUUUUGUUUUUCUCUACAUCGACGCUUUUGAAAAUUACAUUGAAUUUUUUACUAUAAUACUAGAUUCAUUUUCCUAUCAUCAAAAACAAUGCUGAAGUAGAAAAUCGAAGCAUUUUUUUCUGUCCCAAAAGGUAAUGACAGAUAAAAAAAAACUCAUCAUGGAUGUGAUGUAGCUGUUUGGACGUGGGAACGAUAAAACCUAAUAAAAAUAUAAGUACCUAUUAAUAAGUAGCAAAAAUUAAAAUUAAAAUACAAUAUCAAACUCUGUUAUUUAUAUUAUUAAUUAUAUUUAUUGAAAUGCAUAAAAAAUUAAUAAACUACAAAGUAUACCUAUGUUAUUUUAAUGGAUGUGUUAAAUUUUAGUUCAAUGAUAAAUCAUUGUAGACACAAAUCGAUUCUGAGCGGUCUUACAGCAGACUGAAAAUACCAAAAAUAAAUUUGUACAACAUUUAUUAUGCAUACACCUCCCAAAUACAAAUGUUGACAAAAAAUUGGUUAAUUUAACGAGAAAUAACGAUUUUAGUUCUCUGGUGUAAGUACUUGAAACAAUCCGAUUCAAAACAUAUUUACUUUAUUUUUUAAGGCAUUUGUCUUGUUUUUUAAUGCAUUUAAAUCCACGUCAUGUUUAUAACUUAACAUUAUAUUGUAUAUACCAAUCGAUUAUUAUAUCCACGUCUAGCCAGAGUAUUUACUUAAUAUUAUCUAAUAUAGUGUAGGUACGGUACCUAUAUUUUGUUAUUAAUCGAGUAAAUUUUAAAUUAUAAUAUAUGUAGUGGCUGAAAGUUUCAAGUCAGUCUCUACAAAUAAUACUUUUGGUCUUUUGGAAUUGCAACAAAAUAACUAAAAUUAUUAUUCUUCAUUUCAUAAACAAUUUUGUCGUUUUUUUUUAUCAAAUGUUAUUGUCGCAUUAUUUUGUUUUAUAAAGUGUUGACAAGUAGCAUCUUAAACCAUACAAAUAAAUAAAAUUAUAUAUCUAUGAAUAGUUCAUAGAUAUGUCUUCAAUACAUUAUAUGGUUUGGUAGAGGUAUGGUAAAUUGACUAUAAUUUAUAAAGUACUUAUUUAUGAUCAAUGGCGGAAGCACAGAAUAGGUUGAAUUCUAUAAAAUAAACCUAUUCAGUGAAAAUAUUUGUUGAAUAUUAUAGAAUAAUAAUAUAUAGAUUAACAUUUAUAGUUAUUAAAAACUGUAUAGUAAAAAAAAAAAU